Molecule: ribosomal RNA, 253 nt
Filed under: uncultured bacterium
Lineage: Bacteria
Description: partial 16S ribosomal RNA
Rfam family: Bacterial small subunit ribosomal RNA
Source: RNAcentral
GACGAACCGUGCGAACGUUGUUCGGAAUCACUGGGCUUAAAGGGCGCGUAGGCGGCCGCGUAAGUCCGGGGUGAAAUCCCCCAGCCCAACUGGGGAAGUGCCUUGGAUACUGCGUGGCUCGAGCGGGGUAGGGGCAUGUGGAACUUCCGGUGGGGCGGUGAAAUGCGAAGAUAUCGGAAGGAACGCCGGUGGCGAAAGCGACGUGCUGGACCCCCCCUGACGCUGAGGCGCGAAAGCCAGGGGAGCGAACGGG